This 451-nucleotide ribosomal RNA is filed under the name uncultured bacterium. Its description in RNAcentral is "bacterial SSU rRNA". It matches the Rfam family "Bacterial small subunit ribosomal RNA", at positions 330 to 794 of the family's 1533-position model. The record is from RNAcentral.
CCCAGACUCCUACGGGAGGCAGCAGUGGGGAAUAUUGGGCAAUGGGCGCAAGCCUGACCCAGCAACGCCGCGUGAAGGAAGAAGGCUUUCGGGUUGUAAACUUCUUUUGUCAGGGACGAAGCAAGUGACGGUACCUGACGAAUAAGCCACGGCUAACUACGUGCCAGCAGCCGCGGUAAUACGUAGGUGGCAAGCGUUAUCCGGAUUUAUUGGGUGUAAAGGGCGUGUAGGCGGGAAUGCAAGUCAGAUGUGAAAACUAUGGGCUCAACCCAUAGCCUGCAUUUGAAACUGUAUUUCUUGAGUGCUGGAGAGGCAAUCGGAAUUCCGUGUGUAGCGGUGAAAUGCGUAGAUAUAAGGAAGAACACCAGUGGCGAAGGCGGAUGACUGGACGGCAACUGACGGUGAGGCGCGAAAGCGUGGGGAGCAAACAGGAUUAGAUACCCCGGUACGC